This 465-nucleotide ribosomal RNA is filed under the name uncultured bacterium. RNAcentral describes it as "partial 16S ribosomal RNA". It matches the Rfam family "Bacterial small subunit ribosomal RNA", at positions 28 to 507 of the family's 1533-position model. The record is from RNAcentral.
GACGAACGCUGGCGGCGUGCUUAACACAUGCAAGUCGAACGGAAAGGCCCUGCUUGCAGGGUACUCGAGUGGCGAACGGGCGAGUAACACGUGGGUGAUCUGCCCUGCACUUCGGGUUAAGCCUGGGAAACUGGGUCUAAUACCGGCUAGGUGCCAUAUUUAGUGUGAUGGUUGGAAAGUUUUUUCGGUGUAGGGUGAGCUCGCGGGCUAUCAGCUUGUUGGUGGGGUAAUGGCCUACCAAGGCGGCGGCGGGUAGCCGGACUGAGGGGGUGGACGGCCACAUAGGGACUGAGAGGCGGCCCAGGCUCCUACGGGAGGCAGCAGGGGGGAAUAUUGCACAAUGGGCGCAAGCCUGAUGAAGCGACGCCGCGUGGGGGAUGACGGCCUUCGGGUGGUAAACUCCUUUCGCUAGGGACGAAGCUUUUUGUGACGGUACCUAGAUAAGAAGCACCGGCUAACUACGUG